This 72-nucleotide transfer RNA is filed under the name Enicmus brevicornis. RNAcentral's name for it is "tRNA-Arg". The record is from RNAcentral. Lineage: Eukaryota; Metazoa; Arthropoda; Insecta; Coleoptera; Latridiidae.
CUUAAAUAAGAAGCAAAAAUUUGCAUUUAGUUUCGACCUAAAAGUUUGAUUAUAAUAAUCCUUAUUUAAAUU